This 497-nucleotide ribosomal RNA is filed under the name uncultured bacterium. Its description in RNAcentral is "partial 16S ribosomal RNA". It matches the Rfam family "Bacterial small subunit ribosomal RNA", at positions 28 to 507 of the family's 1533-position model. The record is from RNAcentral.
GAUGAACGCUGGCGGCGUGCCUAAUACAUGCAAGUCGAGCGAACAGACGAGGAGCUUGCUCCUCUGUCGUUAGCGGCGGACGUGUGAGUAACAUGUGGAUAACCUACCUAUAAGACUGGGAUAACUUCGGGAAACGGGAGCUAAUACCGGAUAAUAUAUUGCACCGCAUGGUUCAAUAGUGAAAGACGGUUUUGCUGUCACUUAUAGAUGGAUCCGGGCCGCAUUAGCUAGUUGGUAAGGUAACGGCUUACCAAGGCAACUAUGCGUAGCCGACGUGAGUGGCGGGUCGGCGACACUAGAGCGUGGACAGGCACAAGACGACUGCGGGAGGCAGCAGUCGCCAACCUGACGCAAUGGGCGAGAGCCUGGCACAGCAGCCCGACGCGAGUGGUGAAAACGCUGGGAUCGUAAAGCCCGGUUAUGGGUGAAGAACAAAUGUGGAAGGAACCAUGCACGGAGUGACGGUACCGAAUCAAAAAGCCACGGCUAACUACGUG